GAUGAACGCUAGCUACAGGCUUAACACACGCAAGUCGAGGGGAAACGAUAGAGAAAGCUUGCUUUUUCUAGGCGUCGACCGGCGCACGGGUGAGUAACGCGUAUCCAACCUGCCCAUCACUUGGGGAUAACCUUGCGAAAGUAAGACUAAUACCCAAUGAUAUCUCUAGAAGACAUCUGAAGGAGAUUAAAGAUUUAUCGGUGAUGGAUGGGGAUGCGUCUGAUUAGCUUGUUGGCGGGGUAACGGCCCACCAAGGCGACGAUCAGUAGGGGUUCUGAGAGGAAGGUCCCCCACAUUGGAACUGAGACACGGUCCAAACUCCUACGGGAGGCAGCAGUGAGGAAUAUUGGUCAAUGGGCGAGAGCCUGAACCAGCCAAGUAGCGUGCAGGAUGACGGCCCUAUGGGUUGUAAACUGCUUGUAUAAGGGAAUAAAGUGAGUCUCGUGAGGCUUUUUGCAUGUACCUUAUGAAUAAGGACCGGCUAAUUCCGUGCCAGCCGCCGCAGUAA
This 508-nucleotide ribosomal RNA is filed under the name uncultured bacterium. RNAcentral describes it as "partial 16S ribosomal RNA". It matches the Rfam family "Bacterial small subunit ribosomal RNA", at positions 28 to 523 of the family's 1533-position model. The record is from RNAcentral.